AUCGCUUCUCGGCCUUUUGGCUAAGAUCAAGUGUAGUAAAAGUUUAAGCAAAUUUAGGUCUAGUGCCCUCC
This 71-nucleotide small nuclear RNA is filed under the name Fukomys damarensis (Damara mole-rat). RNAcentral describes it as "U2 spliceosomal RNA". It matches the Rfam family "U2 spliceosomal RNA", at positions 1 to 119 of the family's 192-position model. From Rfam's summary of the family: U2 is a small nuclear RNA (snRNA) component of the spliceosome (involved in pre-mRNA splicing). Complementary binding between U2 snRNA (in an area lying towards the 5' end but 3' to hairpin I) and the branchpoint sequence (BPS) of the intron results the bulging out of an unpaired adenosine, on the BPS, which initiates a nucleophilic attack at the intronic 5' splice site, thus starting the first of two transesterification reactions that mediate splicing. The record is from Rfam by way of RNAcentral. Lineage: Eukaryota; Metazoa; Chordata; Mammalia; Rodentia; Bathyergidae.